CCUACGGGAGGCAGCAGUGAGGAAUAUUGGUCAAUGGACGAGAGUCUGAACCAGCCAAGUAGCGUGAAGGAUGACUGCCCUAUGGGUUGUAAACUUCUUUUAUAAAGGAAUAAAACGAGGCACGUGUGCCUUUUUGCAUGUACUUUAUGAAUAAGGAUCGGCUAACUCCGUGCCAGCCGCCGCGGUAAUACGGGGGAUCCGAGCGUUAUCCGGAUUUAUUGGGUUUAAAGGGAGCGUAGAUGGGUUGUUAAGUCAGUUGUGAAAGUUUGCGGCUCAACCGUAAAAUUGCAAUUGAUACUGGCAGUCUUGAGUACAGUUGAGGUAGGCGGAAUUCGUGGUGUAGCGGUGAAAUGCUGAGAUAUCACGAAGAACCCCGAUUGCGAAGGCAGCUUACUAAACUGUGACUGACAUUGAUGCUCGAAAGUGUGGGUAUCAAACAGGAUUAGAUACCCUAGUAGUC
Molecule: ribosomal RNA, 460 nt
Filed under: uncultured bacterium
Lineage: Bacteria
Description: partial 16S ribosomal RNA
Rfam family: Bacterial small subunit ribosomal RNA
Source: RNAcentral